GACGAACGCUGGCGGCGUGCUUAACACAUGCAAGUCGAACGGAAAGGCCCUGCUUUUGUGGGGUGCUCGAGUGGCGAACGGGUGAGUAACACGUGAGUAACCUGCCCUUGACUUUGGGAUAACUUCAGGAAACUGGGGCUAAUACCGGAUCGGAGCUCCUGCUGCAUGGUGGGGGUUGGAAAUUUUCGGCGGUUGGGGAUGGACUCGCGGCUUAUCAGCUUGUUGGUGGGGUAGUGGCUUACCAAGGCUUUGACGGGUAGCCGGCCUGAGAGGGUGACCGGCCACAUUGGGACUGAGAGACGGCCCAGACUCCUACGGGAGGCAGCAGUGGGGAAUAUUGCACAAUGGGCGGAAGCCUGAUGCAGCAACGCCGCGUGCGGGAUGACGGCCUUCGGGUUGUAAACCGCUUUCGCCUGUGACGAAGCGUGAGUGACGGUAAUGGGUAAAGAAGCACCGGCUAACUACGUG
Molecule: ribosomal RNA, 468 nt
Filed under: uncultured bacterium
Lineage: Bacteria
Description: partial 16S ribosomal RNA
Rfam family: Bacterial small subunit ribosomal RNA
Source: RNAcentral